RNAcentral lists this non-coding RNA (181 nucleotides) under Clostridiales bacterium. RNAcentral's name for it is "6S RNA". It matches the Rfam family "6S / SsrS RNA". From Rfam's summary of the family: E. coli 6S RNA was the first non coding RNA to be sequenced, but its function was unknown until recently. It consists of 184 nucleotides that fold into an extended hairpin structure with a large single-stranded internal bulge. The 6S RNA specifically associates with RNA polymerase holoenzyme containing the sigma70 specificity factor. Lineage: Bacteria; Bacillati; Bacillota; Clostridia; Eubacteriales. The record is from RNAcentral.
AGAUUCCUGAGAUGUUCGACAGCCUAUUAUUUUGAACCUACAUCACAUAAACGGGAGCCUUACAAUGUCAAACCAACAUCGGGCCUCAACAAAAGCGGAGGAUGGCGGCGGUAUGGCUGCGGGCAACCCACCUGGCUUAGGCUAGGUUGUCAAAAUAUAGGAACGGCAUUUUGGGUGUUCA